UGAGCUUAAGGUUGACCCUCUGAAAUGC
This 28-nucleotide non-coding RNA is filed under the name Mus musculus (house mouse). Lineage: Eukaryota; Metazoa; Chordata; Mammalia; Rodentia; Muridae. The record is from RNAcentral.